RNAcentral lists this ribosomal RNA (253 nucleotides) under uncultured bacterium. RNAcentral's name for it is "partial 16S ribosomal RNA". It matches the Rfam family "Bacterial small subunit ribosomal RNA", at positions 524 to 776 of the family's 1533-position model. The record is from RNAcentral.
GACAGAGGUGCCAAGCGUUAGGCGGAAUCACUGGGCUUAAAGCGUGUGUAGGCGGAUGACUAAGUAACUUGUGAAAUCCCACGGCUCAACCGUGGAACUGCUUGGUAUACUGGGUGUCUUGAGCCACUUAGGGGUUACCGGAACAAACGGUGGAGCGGUGAAAUGCGUAGAUAUCGUUUGGAACGCCAAUGGUGAAAACAGGUAACUGGGAGUGCGCUGACGCUGAGACACGAAAGCCAGGGAAGCGAACGGG